This 308-nucleotide ribosomal RNA is filed under the name Idiosoma manstridgei. Its description in RNAcentral is "partial 12S ribosomal RNA". The record is from RNAcentral. Lineage: Eukaryota; Metazoa; Arthropoda; Arachnida; Araneae; Idiopidae.
AGGUAAUACUUUAGGAAACCUUCAUUUCAUGACGGCCUUUUAUCUUUUUAGAGAAACUUGUUCUUUUAUCGAUACUCCUCGUUUAUUUUUACUUCAAUCAAGUUCUUAUACCGCCGUCUUAAGAUCUUGUUUUAAUUCAAUUUUCCCCAAAAUGUUUGUCAAGUCAGGUCAAGGUAAGGCUUAUGUAGAAGUUAGAAAUGAGUUGCAUAUAAAUUUCAUUUUAGGAUUUCUUUUCUAAAGAUUUUAUGAAAUAGGAUUUAUUAGUAGACAUUUAUUAAAAUUUAAUUACGAAAAUGAAAAUUAGGUGU